CCACCUGACCCCAUGCCGAACUCAGAAGUGAAACGCCGUAGCGCCGAUGGUAGUGUGGGGUCUCCCCAUGCGAGAGUAGGGAACUGCCAGAC
This 92-nucleotide ribosomal RNA is filed under the name Citrobacter freundii. Lineage: Bacteria; Pseudomonadati; Pseudomonadota; Gammaproteobacteria; Enterobacterales; Enterobacteriaceae. RNAcentral also lists the same sequence under 9 other names. The record is from RNAcentral.